CUUCCCUUAUGUGCAUCAGUUUUGCAGAGACACCAGACUUUUUAAAAUGUCAUUAAAUAAGUUUUAAGCUAGAACCGUUUAGAGAAUCUGGAAAAUUUACUAUAAGUAUUCAAUACUUUUUCUCCUCAUGUAAGGAAGAUAUGGUGGUUUGGCACUUAGCAUCCAUCUUAAACUCCUUCUUGUACUGCAGUGGCCAGAAAUUUUUAAGCCACAUUUAUCAGACCCUUGCAGCUAGGAGGCCAGAUGUGAGUUUGAUUCUGCUAAUUAGAUGAACUGGAGAGAUCUGGGAGGCAGUAAGGAGACAGAAGUCACCUUCCUGCUUCUUUGAUGCUUUCUGAUGCCUCGUGAGGUCAUAAACGCUCCGGCCAGGAGCAGCUGGGGUGGGCAAUAGCUUUCCUCUUGCAACAGCACGGCAGUGUCUGGUCACCGGAUGCAUGGAUGUCAAGAAGCAAUUGUGGCAAUGGGAGUGGCAGCAGGAAUGAUCCCUGAACCAUAGCUCCCUAUCCUGUUAUGCAUGGCAUGUCUCUCCUGACCUCUAAUCACACGUGCGUCUCAAGGGUGGACCUCAGUUUCAGCUGCUGUUGGAGAACACUUGCAGACCAAUUGUGAACUUACAGAUAAGGAAACUGAGCUCCGAGAAAUUAAGAAACAUGAACGAUGACAUCUAUGAAGUCUGGCUCUGGAGCUCAAGCUCCAGAUGACUGCCCUGAAUUGCCUCACCUUUACAAGGCACCCAAUAAAACCUGUUCAAUAAAUGAAUCAAGGAAAUAUGGCUGAC
Molecule: long non-coding RNA, 778 nt
Organism: Leopardus geoffroyi (Geoffroy's cat)
Lineage: Eukaryota; Metazoa; Chordata; Mammalia; Carnivora; Felidae
Exons: 3
Source: RefSeq, a predicted model, not a curated record